AUAUGCUUGUCCCGAAGCUUAAGCCAUGCAUGUCUAAGAACGAUAGUAGCUUGAUCUAGAAUCUGCGAACGGCUCCGUAUAUCUGUUAUAACCCACCGCCGCCCAAACAAGCGGCAUAACCACGGUAAUUCUGUGGCUAAUACGUGCAUCCAUCACCGCCCCUUCUCCUCGGAGAGGGGGCGGGGUCUUGCGGCUCGACCAAUGGGGGGGCAACCCCCUUGCGUGAGUGCUGGCAAGGGUACCUGACCAGUCCAAACGGGCUGGCUCGUGCGAUGGGCGCCAGACCUAUCAACUAGAUGGCCGAGUAAAGUCCGGCCAUGGUUAUAACGGGUACAGAGGAUCAGGGUUCGGUCCUGGAGAGGUAGCCUGAGAGAUCGCUACUACUUCUAAGGAAGGCAGCAGGCGCGCAACGUUCCCAAUGGGGAUACCCUGAGGACGUGAAGGGACAUACCAAUGGCCGCCCCUUAAAGGCGGCCAAUUGGAAUGGGGGAGCCUUAAAUCCCACACCGAGUAACAAUUGGAGGACAAGUCUGGUGCCAGCACCCGCGGUAAUUCCAGCUCCAAUAGCAUCUAGUUAAGUUGUUGCAGUUAAAACGCUCGUAGUCGGAGCCGGUGCGCCGUCCUGCCGCCCAGUACCGCCUGGCCCCGGGAGCAAUCCUGGGGCCUAGUGGGGACAGUGGCAGGAGGCCACUACUUUGCCUGGGGAUCCCGCCUGGUGGGCCUUCAGUGGCCCGCCUUGCUGCCCCAGGCCGUUUACUUUGAGUAAAUGUGAGCGCUCCAAGCAGGCCGAUCCGGCCAUUGUAACCCGCAGCAAAGAAUAAUGGAACAGGAGCCUUCCUGCCCAUUGGUCCAGGACGGGCUAAUGAUCUAUAGGGGCGAUCGGGGCCGGCCACAUGGCGGGGGUAGGGGUGAAAUCCGUUGAUCCUCGCCAGGUGAACUAGAGCGAAAGCAGCCGGCAAGUACGCUUUCUUUGAUCAAGAACGAAAGUCUGGGGAUCGAAGAUGAUCAGAUACCAUCGUAGUCCAGACCCUAAAUCAUGCCAGCCAUGGAUGGGCCGCCGUCCAUCCCGACUCGGUCCGGACCUUAUCGGGAAACCAUAAGCGUUUGGGCUCCGGGGGGAGUAUGGUUGCAAAGCUGAAACUUAAAGGAAUUGACGGAAGAGCACACAAGGAGUGGAGCCUGCGGCUUAAUUUGACUCAACACGGGAAAACUCACUAGGGCAAGAGGGGGGUAGGAUGGACAGCCGAUCAGGGCUUUCCUGAUUCCUCCAGUGGUGGUGCAUGGUCGUUCUUAGUUCGUGGAUUGAUUUGUCUGGUCUAUUCCGCUAACGAGCGAGAACCCCCCCUACCGAUGUUAGGCGCUCCAGCACGCUCUGAAAGCCUCCCGGGCAACUGGGGGGCCUCUAGGCUGAAAACGCUGGUGAGCUCGCUCUGGAGGGACCGGUACCGACAAGGUGCCGGCAGCGGGUCAAUAACAGGUCAGUGAUGCCCUUAGAUGCCCUAGGCCGCACGCGCGCUACAAUGGGACGAGUACCGGGCUCUCCUGUGCCGAAAGGCGGCGGGGAAUCCGCGAAAGCGUCUCGUAUCCGGGACAGCGCCGUGUAACUCGGCGCUCAAACAAGGAAUUUCUAGUAGUCAUGGGUCACUAGCCCGUGACGAUUC
This 1661-nucleotide ribosomal RNA is filed under the name Perichaena vermicularis. Its description in RNAcentral is "SSU rRNA". It matches the Rfam family "Eukaryotic small subunit ribosomal RNA", at positions 26 to 1647 of the family's 1831-position model. The record is from RNAcentral. Lineage: Eukaryota; Evosea; Eumycetozoa; Trichiida; Trichiidae.